RNAcentral lists this ribosomal RNA (536 nucleotides) under uncultured bacterium. RNAcentral's name for it is "bacterial SSU rRNA". It matches the Rfam family "Bacterial small subunit ribosomal RNA", at positions 369 to 896 of the family's 1533-position model. The record is from RNAcentral.
CAAUGGACGAAAGUCUGACGCAGCAACGCCGCGUGGGUGAUGAAGGUCUUCGGAUCGUAAAACCCUGUCGUCAGGGACGAAGGUUGCAUGCCUAACAGGUGUGUAACUUGACGGUACCUGGAGAGGAAGCCCCGGCUAACUCUGUGCCAGCAGCCGCGGUAAUACAGAGGGGGCAAGCGUUAUUCGGAAUUAUUGGGCGUAAAGGGCGCGUAGGCGGUGAUUUAAGUGAGAUGUGUAAUCCCUGGGCUUAACCUGGGAACUGCAUCUCAGACUGGAUCGCUAGAGUGCUGGAGAGGGUGGUAGAAUUCCACGUGUAGCGGUGAAAUGCGUAGAGAUGUGGAGGAAUACCAGUGGCGAAGGCGGCCACCUGGACAGUAACUGACGCUGAGGCGCGAAAGUGUGGGUAGCAAACAGGAUUAGAUACCCUGGUAGUCCACGCUGUAAACGAUGAACACUUGGUGUGGUGGGAGUUGACCCCUGCCGUGCCGUAGCUAACGCGAUAAGUGUUCCGCCUGGGGAGUACGGUCGCAAGGCUG